UCAGACGAUGCGUCAUGCAUAUCAAUAAGCGGAGGAAAAGAAACUAACAAGGAUUCCCCUAGUAACGGCGAGUGAAGCGGGAAGAGCUCAAAUUUGAAAUCUUAAAGGGUUUCCCUUUACGAAUUGUAGUUUAAAGAAGUGUUUUCUGUUGAGGUUUUGGUAAAAGUUCUUUGGAAUAGGACAUCAUAGAGGGUGAGAAUCCCGUAUUUGACCUUUACUUUCAACUUUGUGAUACACUUUCAAAGAGUCGGAUUGUUUGGGAAUGCAGUCCAAAAUGGGUGGUAAAUUUCAUCUAAAGCUAAAUAUUGGCGAGAGACCGAUAGCGAACAAGUACCGUGAGGGAAAGAUGAAAAGAACUUUGAAAAGAGAGUUAAACAGUACGUGAAAUUGUCAAAAGGGAAGCGUUUGACACCAGUGUUGUUUUUCUGAAAAUCAAUUAAAGAACUGUUUAUGCUAAGUUGUUUAGACUUUAUCAGCUAACUGUUUAGUUUUGAGCUUUUCUUUAAUGCACCUUUCAGUUAACAAGUCAACAUCAAUUUCUUUUGCUGUAAAAAAGCCUGAGGAAGGUGGCUUGAGAUUCGUCUUAAGUGUUUAUAGCCUCUUGCCUAUGCAGUCGGAGAGAUUGAGGUCUAGCAGCGUAGAUCCUUCGGGGCUAAAUGCAUUUGUGCUAAGUUAUAGCAUUUUAUAGACAACUUGUUGACUAUGAUUUGUCUUGUAGCUUACUCGCUUAUGUUAUUUUACCUACGCUUAGGAUGUUGAGCGCAUGUCUCUCUCU
This 775-nucleotide ribosomal RNA is filed under the name uncultured Neocallimastigales. RNAcentral describes it as "partial large subunit ribosomal RNA". It matches the Rfam family "Eukaryotic large subunit ribosomal RNA", at positions 18 to 616 of the family's 3401-position model. Lineage: Eukaryota; Fungi; Neocallimastigomycota; Neocallimastigomycetes; Neocallimastigales. The record is from RNAcentral.